This is a ribosomal RNA of 405 nucleotides. It matches the Rfam family "Bacterial small subunit ribosomal RNA", at positions 355 to 774 of the family's 1533-position model.
UGGGGGAUAUUGCACAAUGGGGGAAACCCUGAUGCAGCAACGCCGCGUGAGGGAAGAAGGUUUUCGGAUUGUAAACCUCUGUCCAAAGGGAAGAAAAAAAUGACGGUACCUUUGGAGGAAGCUCCGGCUAACUACGUGCCAGCAGCCGCGGUAAUACGUAGGGAGCAAGCGUUGUCCGGAAUUACUGGGUGUAAAGGGUGCGUAGGCGGCCUAGUGGGUCAGACGUGAAAUAUAUGGGCUUAACCCAUAAACUGCGUUUGAAACUACAAGGCUUGAGUGAAGUAGAGGCAGGCGGAAUUCCCUGUGUAGCGGUGAAAUGCGUAGAGAUAGGGAGGAACACCAGUGGCGAAGGCGGCCUGCUGGGCUUUAACUGACGCUGAGGCACGAAAGCGUGGGUAGCAAACA